GGGGGUGCACUGGUUUCGACGGGGGUUGCAAAAUCGCUUGGCGCAUGCCGAGGGGGCAGCUUUCCUCGUAAAUCCAGCCGCAAACUUAUAGUUGCCAACGACGACAACUACGCUCUGGCCGCUUAAGGCCUAGCCCCGAAAUCGCUUGUGUCCGUGCUCGCGACGUAGGGUCAUUAUCACGGAAUCGUCGGUGGUGGCUGCCUGUCAGCCACUGGCUAAAUCAAGCAGGCUGGUCCCGGGAUGCGCUUCGCACAUCGUGCUGUUCCGGGGCGAGAUGCAACGAUGAGCUAAGCAUGUAGUGCCGGGGAUGGAGUGCCUUCGGACGGCGGUUCGAUUCCGCCCACCUCCACCA
Xanthomonas albilineans GPE PC73 is the source of this 352-nucleotide non-coding RNA. It matches the Rfam family "transfer-messenger RNA". From Rfam's summary of the family: Bacterial tmRNA, also known as 10Sa RNA or SsrA, is named for its dual tRNA and mRNA-like properties. Its role is to liberate the mRNA from a stalled ribosome. NCBI's taxonomy places the organism in Bacteria, Pseudomonadati, Pseudomonadota, Gammaproteobacteria, Lysobacterales, Lysobacteraceae. The record is from Rfam.